Molecule: long non-coding RNA, 747 nt
Organism: Mauremys mutica (yellowpond turtle)
Lineage: Eukaryota; Metazoa; Chordata; Testudines; Geoemydidae
Exons: 3
Source: RefSeq, a predicted model, not a curated record
CUGGAAACAGCCACUCGUGGCGGCGUUGGUACACCGAAUAUCCCUGCACAAACCUCAACGGCACAACGGCAUUAUCAGACGACCGAAGUUCUUCCUGCUCCAAAGGUAACCUAUCGUCAGCUACCUGGCCCGGAGUGGAGCGGACCUGUGCCACUAAUCACCUGGGGGCGCGGUUACGCAGCUGUAUCAACACCAAGCGGCCCGCUCUGGGUACCUGCACGAUACGUUCGACCAUACAAGGAUGGCGUGGCAUCAGGGACUGAGCAACCCCAUCCCUGACUUCAACAUACACUUAUAUGAUGAACAAGGAAAAGUAACAACGGGCCGAAAACGAGGGGGCCAACGAAAUGCACCUGUCACAUGGGGCCAAGUAAAGAACCUAGCUAAUCAGGCUGAACAACUGUUGGAAAAAACAGGACAAGAGAAAACGGCAGAGAACUAUAUGAUGGCAUUAAUAGCCUCCUUAAAUGCCAAUUCUGUACUUUUGUUAACAAUAAUUAUUUUCAGUUUAACUACUGUCCCUACGGAAGGGGGGCCGAUAAUGACUGGGGGGGUUCAUCUUAAUAUAUGGGAGGUAUUUGCAAAGACUUUAAACCAAAGUACCUUCUGCUUAACGGAGCAGAGGGCGGUGGGGGAGGUGCUAGAAUUAUGCCUGCAAAUUGCUUAAAAACAAAAAGGGGGAGGUGUAGUGAAACAUGCUGUGCUGGCAAACCACACACGUGUUUAUUACAUUUACUCCUGGCUUAA